GACGAACCGUGCGAACGUUGUCGGAAUCACUGGGCUUAAAGGGCGCGUAGGCGGCCGGGUUGGUCGUGGGUGAAAUCCCCCAGCUUAACUGGGGAACUGCCUACGAUACUGCCUGGCUCGAGGGAGGAAGGGGCGGUCGGAACUGUCGGUGGAGCGGUGAAAUGCGUUGAUAUCGACAGGAACGCCGGUGGCGAAAGCGGACCGCUGGCCCUCUUCUGACGCUGAGGCGCGAAAGCCAGGGGAGCGAACGGG
This 252-nucleotide ribosomal RNA is filed under the name uncultured bacterium. RNAcentral's name for it is "partial 16S ribosomal RNA". It matches the Rfam family "Bacterial small subunit ribosomal RNA", at positions 524 to 776 of the family's 1533-position model. The record is from RNAcentral.